GCACAGCUCCGGUUGCGGGGAGGCCCGGGUGGGUACCCGGCGCUCCGGCUCCCAGUCUCCUGGGCUUCUCCAGUCCUUCAGCGCCGUUCUCCGGUCACAGGGAAUGAAAGCGAGGAAGAAGGAAACGGUGUCGAGAAUUGCGAAGAGAGAAAGCAUAGAAAACCCACAUUAGAGGCACUCCCAGAGCAGAAACCCUUCGGAGCAUCCCGACUUCCUCGGCCCGCGUGCAAUCCAGGCAAAAUUGAGGUUGUCUCUGAGCCGCCCUCCCUAAGCAGGUCGGAAAGCCCCCGAAUCAUCCCAGGUCCCGCCGCGCUGCACUCGCAACCUGGGGUGGAGGUCCCUCUAGUGGUUGGCACCAAACAAAAGUUCUGUCUUAUGAAGAGCCGAGGUCAGGAAGCAUUUCCCUGUGCCCAGCGCCAAGGUCUGGGACCUUAGGUCCAAGAAAAGCGUUGGCAAUGUCUGACCACAGGAAUGGGUUCUCGAACUGGGGAGGACUGAAGCUGGAGAUCUGGUCCAGCCCCUACCUCCAGCGUGUGGCCUGAACCCGUUUUGGUUGUACUGCUAUGUUGUGGCCCUGCCCAGGCCUCCAAGGACUGGCUGCUGUUAAGCUGUUUAAAAUCCCUGUAGGCCUCAGAUGGCAGCGACACCAGGGACUCGGCAUAGUCCCCAGCUCUGGCAGGAGUCACCACAGCCCUAGCCUUUAGUUCUCUACAGGCUGGAGUGUCGACAAACUCCACAGGACACAACUUUUUCAAACCAAAUUUACCCUCGCGGUCUGAAAUGACCAGUAGGCCCAGGAGAAUUUUACAUGUGAACAGAACCUAACCCACCCUGGCAAAUAUGAGACGUGUGGUCACUGCGGGAACCUGGCCAGCAGCAGACCAAAGCACAGCCAGCAGGGGAAGGCUGGGGCCCGCAAGAGUUGUGUUACAACAGGACACCCUUCAGUUCUCUUUCACUUCCUUAAAAUAGCAGCAGAGCGACUUUUGUAGACGCAGGCUGCCACAGUUCACACAAGGUCAUGGCUGUUUCCGAAUCCCACCCUUUAUUGCCCUAGCGGAGCCACUCCCCUUACCUCCGCCCCCAGAAACUGCUAGCCUGUUCUUAAAUUGAUACAGUUACCUUUUUAAAUGUUCUAAGUCACCGGCUCUGGAGCUUCUUUGCACUUUGGAACCAACUUGCGGGAAGGAACUUUAAAAAUACUGAUAUCUCGAUCCAUCCCCAGAGGUUCUGAUUUAAUGGUCUUGGGGAUAUGGCCACGGCAUGAGGACUGUUAAAACUCCGCAGGUGAUUCUUAUGUGCAACAAAGUUUAAGAACCACUGAUGUAGGCCAUGUCGAUGUCAGUCUUCACUUAAAUCCAACAAGACCCCAGAGCUAAAACGUUCACCUGAAAGAAACCCCAUUCCCAGGCCUGCAUACUGACCUGCGCUGGCUCACAAGAAGCAAAGUGGUCCCUUAACAGGGGCUUCCUGGAGAAAAUGUCUUGACCUAAAAGAGUGAUUCGAGCUGCAGGGAUUUAAGAGAGACAGGGCCUUGCUCUGUCACCCAGGCUGAAAUGCAGUGUUGCAAUCUUGGCUCGCUGUAGCCUCAAGCUCUUGGACUCAGGCGAUUCUCCUAUCUCAGCUUCCUAAGUAGCUGGGACUACAGGGCUCAGUGUGGUCAAAAGAAGACUAUAGAAUCAAGGAUGAAGAGAAGGAACACAGAAUAAAAGGACGUCUCAGCAGGAAGCUCUGUGACUACUAUGUGACCGAGCUGAAGAAGCCCCCGUCUUCCAGCGCAUGUUAUUCCCAUGACAGAUGCUAAAAGUUCAAGGGGAGAGCUACAAGAAGUGCGUUUUCCUGUGGCUACUUUCAUGUCUGGAUGCAAUGCCUAGACCUGCAUCCAUCUUGCGACCAACCUGAAGAUGAACAGAAAGGAAGGAAGGAUGGCCCAAUAGCCUGGGAAGAACUGGUGUUCCUGAUACCAUCAUUAACCACAGAAUCUACAAUCCCGGAACCCCCCAUCCUUAACCAUGGAAUCUACAAUCCUAUCUCUAGACCCUUUGUCCAGAUGCUACAGUUUCUUUGUUCAAUCUAGUUUGUGUCAGGAUUUCUGUUCAUUACAUCAAAAGUAUUCUAAUACUUGUAGCAAAGCAACUGGAGAAGUUUUCACUUUGUCUUUAACCAAAGAAGACUUCCAGGAAACAUCUCCUCAGUGGGUUUCUCCCUCACCACUGGAUUUUUAUCUCUGUACUAGUGCUUUGAUUUGUUUUAGGAGUCUCACCUCUCCACCUGUCAUAUUUCCCUGGCAGGCUCAUUUCUGCUAAUGCCCACAAUAUGUGUAUCAAUGAGCUUUCAACGUUAGGUACACAGCUCUUCAGGCAUGUAUAGCACAUUAAUCUGUCUGCUUCUAAGUGGUCUGUUGACAUGUUUGGGUGCCAGUUAUAUCUACAAGGCUGUGAUCAUUGUCCUGGGUUAUUCUGUUUGUUCUCUCUGCAGGAUGCAUUAGGACACCCAAGGCCAUGGCCAUCACUUACAUCUAGGAUUCAAUCUUAUCUCCUGUGAAUCACUGGAAACCUCCUGUCCUGGAACCCUUUUUUUCCACAUCCCACUGGAUGUCAUUCAUAGCAACUGGUCUUGUGGGUUGUCUAUUUUAUUGUGUUGUCUUACUCUUCCUCCUGGUAUCAGUUUUUAAAUCCUCUUGAUGAGAUCAGCUGAUCAGUCGCUAAGCAACAUAGUCCCCCAUGUCUUUGUAAGAUUCUCUGCACUCAUGGCUAGAAUGAUUUAUUCUGGUAUCUUAAGCUGUGUUUCAGAACCUCAUUCUAAAUAUCAACCUAUUCUUGUAAGUCCACUACUGAUCAUCUUUAGAUAUUCUUCAGUCUUCCAGAGUUCCAAAGGGCAGUAGGAAGAAGCAAUGAAAAUACCACCUGUAUUCUCACAUCUUUCAUUGUUCCACUCAAAAAAUACCACCAUGUUCACUUCUGGUGGAACGUUUAUGUCCAUGAGAAGCAGUGGCUUUGAAGAGUUUUGGCAGACUAUGGCGCCUUACUCAACAUUGGGAAGGUAUCUUGCCAUCAGACCUUUUGGGUCUCCAUGAAACUUCUUAUACCCCCUCUGGGAAAAGUCACUAACUGUGAUCUUACUGAGCUUCUAAACACAGCAUUUUUUUUACACUUAAGUGAGCGGGGGUCCUCCUCAUUUGUGCUUCUCUUCUUGUAAGGGUGACUUCCUCCCAGUAGGAUGAAUCUCAUGCCUAUUUGUGUUAUUUUGCUAAUUCCAGCUUCUUUUCUACUCAGGGGGGUUCCAACUCUUUUAAGGUCUCAUCUUCAGCACUUCUAAACUGUGGGAAACUAUGUGAAAACAAAUGGAGUGGCCAAACACACCAUUCAUCACUGUGCUUCUGGACAGCUGCAAGUCCAUACGUGUUCUGGUGAGUCUUCAGGUUGUACGGGAACAGAGGCUGAAUCAAGGCAGUUCAGUGAGAGUCUAGAUGGGAGUGCUUAUGGUGUUCUAUAAUAAAGUACUUAUGGAACAAUAAUAGAAAUGGAUUCUUAGAGAAGCCCAAGAGAAGGAACUAUGAUUGCCUCAUUUCCCUGACAUUUCUAAGUUUGGUGGCAUAAUCUAAUUGACCCAACCCACCUUGGGGUGCCAGGCCAUGUCAUAAGUCACUGGACAGCCCAUAAACAGCUUUCUGGGAGCAUGUCCCCAUCUUGAUCCAAUCACCUGUGGCCAGGACAUUUUACAAACCUCGGUGGUUAGGGCUGCUUGUUCAACAGAUAUUAGGGGUGAAGUUGUACAUGCAUGCAGGGGAGGCUGAGAUGGUAGGCACCGUGAAUAACAUGUUCCAGGGUGGGCUCUGCCUCUUGUCUGCUCUGUAACAUACCCCUGCUUCCUUGUCCUGACCUCUCAUUUGCUAAAGUCUGAUUUCCAGCUUUGAAGUCUCUGCUCAAUCUCUCCAGCCUUCUGCUCAUGUCUUCACCUCCUACCUUGCAGCCUGUCUUUUGACUUGAUGUUGCUUGACUGCAAUUCCUGUGACUUGGCCUUGGGGUCCACUCCCAUGAAAUGCUUCUCUGGCAGCCUUGGCAGGUGUGUCCCAGUGUUCCUGAGUUCCAGUGUUCCUGGCUGUGUCCUUGCACCAGAGCAGGCUGCUUGAGAUUAGACACGCUCCUCCCUCCUAUCAGUCCACCUUGGCUCUGACACUUUCCUCAGCCUCCUUUUCUUUGUCUGCUGGAGCACAGCAAAGUUUCCCAGAAGGUUUAAAUUUACAUUCUUGGUCAAGGUCUCACACCAUCAUGACACUGAAGCAGAUAGAGUGACUUCCUUCUCUUCUAAGCUGUGUGCAUGCCUCCAUGCCCCUACUAGUUUGUAUAAUUCCAGUUUCUAUAAUUUCUUCCAUUCUUUCCUGAAACUUUGUGCUUUCUGUUAAAGUAGGUUUUUAGGGAUAUUUUUCAGGUCGGUUCAUCCC
Homo sapiens (human) is the source of this 4444-nucleotide long non-coding RNA. Ensembl annotates it as SYT9 antisense RNA 1. Its record names the gene SYT9-AS1. Lineage: Eukaryota; Metazoa; Chordata; Mammalia; Primates; Hominidae. The record is from Ensembl.